RNAcentral lists this ribosomal RNA (452 nucleotides) under Christensenella hongkongensis. Its description in RNAcentral is "bacterial SSU rRNA". It matches the Rfam family "Bacterial small subunit ribosomal RNA", at positions 1052 to 1503 of the family's 1533-position model. Lineage: Bacteria; Bacillati; Bacillota; Clostridia; Christensenellales; Christensenellaceae. The record is from RNAcentral.
UCGUCAGCUCGUGUCGUGAGAUGUUGGGUUAAGUCCCGCAACGAGCGCAACCCUUGUUGCUAGUUGCCAGCACGUAAAGGUGGGAACUCUAGUGAGACUGCCGGGGACAACUCGGAGGAAGGUGGGGACGACGUCAAAUCAUCAUGCCCCUUAUGUCUUGGGCUACACACGUGCUACAAUGGCCGGUACAAAGGGCAGCGACCUCGUAAGAGUAAGCGAAUCUCAAAAAGCCGGCCCCAGUUCGGAUUGUGGGCUGCAACCCGCCCACAUGAAGUCGGAGUUGCUAGUAAUCGCGAAUCAGCAUGUCGCGGUGAAUGCGUUCCCGGGCCUUGUACACACCGCCCGUCACACCACGGAAGUUGGGAGCACCCGAAGCCAGUGGCUUAACCGUAAGGAGAGAGCUGUCGAAGGUGAGAUCAAUGACUGGGGUGAAGUCGUAACAAGGUAGCCGU